RNAcentral lists this ribosomal RNA (403 nucleotides) under uncultured Methanosaeta sp. Its description in RNAcentral is "bacterial SSU rRNA". It matches the Rfam family "Archaeal small subunit ribosomal RNA", at positions 937 to 1338 of the family's 1478-position model. The record is from RNAcentral. Lineage: Archaea; Methanobacteriati; Methanobacteriota; Methanomicrobia; Methanotrichales; Methanotrichaceae.
CGACAGCAAUAUGAAGGUCAGGCUGAAGACCUUACCCGAUUAGCUGAGAGGUGGUGCAUGGCCGUCGUCAGUUCGUACUGUGAAGCAUCCUGUUAAGUCAGGCAACGAGCGAGACCCACGUCCACAGUUGCCAGCAUACCCUCCGGGGUGAUGGGUACACUGUGGAGACCGCCGCUGCUAAAGCGGAGGAAGGAGUGGGCAACGGUAGGUCAGUAUGCCCCGAAUCUCCCGGGCUACACGCGGGCUACAAUGGUUGGUACAAUGGGCAUCUACCCCGAAAGGGGAAGGAAAUCUCUUAAAGCCAAUCGUAGUUCGGAUUGAGGGCUGCAACUCGCCCUCAUGAAGCUGGAAUCCGUAGUAAUCGCGUUUCAACAGAACGCGGUGAAUACGUCCCUGCUCCUUA